GUCCCGGUAGCUCAGCCUGGUGGAGCACCUGCUCGACGCGCAGGGGGUCGGGGGUUCGAAGCCCUCCCGGGACA
Molecule: transfer RNA, 74 nt
Filed under: Asanoa hainanensis
Lineage: Bacteria; Bacillati; Actinomycetota; Actinomycetes; Micromonosporales; Micromonosporaceae
Description: Asanoa sp. 210121 tRNA
Rfam family: tRNA
About the family: Transfer RNA (tRNA) molecules are approximately 80 nucleotides in length. Their secondary structure includes four short double-helical elements and three loops (D, anti-codon, and T loops).
Source: Rfam by way of RNAcentral